Molecule: non-coding RNA, 2034 nt
Organism: Phascolarctos cinereus (koala)
Lineage: Eukaryota; Metazoa; Chordata; Mammalia; Diprotodontia; Phascolarctidae
Source: RefSeq, a predicted model, not a curated record
CCUAACACUUCCCUCUACCAUGGUGCCUCUGGGAACUUGGUGGCAGUUUUAGAUGCUUAGUUUUAGACUUUUGGAGUUACCUCUUUAUCAAAAGUGGGAUGGGGUAGAAUUUGGCUCCUGGUGCAGGUGAGGAGGCCUGCGGAUUUGACCAGGCAGGAAGCUCCAGACGAAGAGACCAUGAUGUUUCAUGCUUUGCACCCUUUGAGCAUCACUGGGAGGACAGGCAUUUAAAAGAUGAGAAAUCUGGGGCCUAAAGAGGUUGAAUGACUUGUCCAAGGUGAUACAGGCACUAAGUGGCAGAGACAAGAUUCAAAUCCACUGAACCCUGAUGAUCGAAGACCAAAGUGAAACAGUCCCUGCCCUCGAGGAGCUUACAUUCUACUGGGGGAGUUCUUGGAACCUAUUUUAGAUUAUAAGCUCCUGGAGGGAAGAGGCCACGUCUGCAUAUCUCGGUCUUCUAGCACACCUAUGUAAUGUUAAUUCAGCGGCACCUGACGCCUCGUUUGUGCUUCAUCGUCAAGGAAAAUGCUGCCGAGUCUUCCAUAUAACUGAAGCGGACAACUUAAUUCCAAAGCUUCUCUGUUCCUUUAAUCACUGUAGAGGAGGCAAUUUUCUGCUUUCUUAAACAAUAUGCAUUAAACAUAAUUUAAAUUCUCCUUGAGUGUUAAGGGUCAUACUUAUGGACAUCCAUCGUUGUACUGUACCCUCAUGCAAAGAUGAGCAUUCUCACGGACUGUUGCUAUGUAUCAAGCUGUUUGCCCUUACGUUGGAUGAUCCCAAGCUACUGUAGUUUGGGAGUCCAUUUCUUAGCCUUUUACGAUUGUCCUGUUUCCUCCUUUCCAGUGAACGUGUCACCUGUCCCUUCUUGUUAUUGUCAAUGUACCAAGUUCUAGCAUCUUCCCAAUUGCUGCUGAUUUGCUGACUCUCAACUAGUGUGACCUGGAAGACCGGAUCAUGUCAGAUCAUCAGUUUUGUCUAAAGCAAAAGUUUAAUAGGGUGCAAGUGAAUGCCAAGGAUGAUACUCUUUGAUGACUAUCAGAAUAAGCUUUUCCACAUCUGUUUUGGCUGCUCAGAAGUUUUUUGUUUUGUUUUUCUUUGCUUCUUUUCGAGCCUUUGGCUGUGUUCCAAAUAGUUGAGGUUGCUGAAAAAGUAACCUCUGGAUCUAUGAGGAGAUAACUAAGUAAAUAACAUUAUGCUAUCCUUGGUAUAUGGCAAUAAUGGUACUGUAAAAUCCUAGAACACUGACCUUAGAGGAGAUCUGGUUUUAAUAUUUACUUAUGAUGUUGGGCAUAAUCACUGAGCCUCAGUUUCCUCACCUGUAAAGUGGAGAUGGGAAUAUUUGCACUGUUCACCUCACAAACUUAUUGUAAGGCAAACACUUUUAUCUAAAAAAACAAACAAAAAUCCCUUCAGGUAUUAUAUGGAAAUGUGAGUUAUUGUUAUGUGCCCUGAGUUGUUUUUUUUCCCCUUUUCCAUCUGUUUUCUUUUCUCACAAUUCCCUUGUGGAUACAUAUUCAAGAUGGUUGGCUGUAAUUAAGGGUAUUACAGUUUGUGGCUAUGGAUCAGAUGAAAAUUAACUGGCUUAUUGGAGGGCCAAACUGAGUUCCCUGGCUUCAAUACAGUGCUCUUACCAAUUAAGUUAUUGUGUCUAGACAUGAGUGGCUUGAUUCACACCUAUCAACUACCUGGUCUAUCACUUAGCCCUCCUUGAUAUGGUAGGAGAGCUAACAAAGGGCCAAGCACACAGAAUACACGUUACCUUGGGAUCCUCCACAAAAGUGGUUCUGAAACUGAACAUCUAAAGAGUACUUGCUUCUGAGGGGUCUGGAGUAUAAUUAAAUUACACCUAGACCAGAAUAAUCCUGGAUUCUUGAGUUGCCUUCUUGGACCAGUCUUGAUUUACCUUAUGGUCACCAUUUUGGUUUCUACUCAGGCUCACCUUGAUUUUUGUUUAAGACUUGAAUGUGGGUGUUGAAGAAAGAGCAAUGGAUUUGGAGUCAGAGGACUUGGUUUUGACACCUGGUUCUGCCACUU